UACGGGGGGAGCAAGCGUUGUUCGGAUUUACUGGGCGUAAAGGGCGCGUAGGCGGUCGUGACAAGUCACUUGUGAAAUCUCCGGGCUUAACUCGGAACGGUCAAGUGAUACUGUCGGACUAGAGUACAGAAGGGGCAACUGGAAUUCUCGGUGUAGCGGUGAAAUGCGUAGAUAUCGAGAGGAACACCAGAAGCGAAGGCGGCCAACUGGCCCGAUACUGACGCUGAGGCGCGAAAGCGUGGGGAGCAAACAGG
RNAcentral lists this ribosomal RNA (254 nucleotides) under uncultured bacterium. RNAcentral describes it as "partial 16S ribosomal RNA". It matches the Rfam family "Bacterial small subunit ribosomal RNA", at positions 524 to 776 of the family's 1533-position model. The record is from RNAcentral.